AUUUGAAGAUACUUGAAGACUUGAAUGAAUUCACACCUCCAAUAAAAAUCUUAUCAAGGAGGUGAAAGAUUAAUGCACCAAUUGCAAGAACAAUUCAUCAAGAGGUGCAGAAUUUGGCAAUUUGAAAUUUUUUUUUAGUUUAGUGUUUCAUGCAUCAUGCAAUCACAUUAAGUUAUUAAAAAACACAUCAUUUCGUCUUACUAAAUUAUGUUUCUAUUGCUGGAUAGGCCUAA
RNAcentral lists this unclassified non-coding RNA (233 nucleotides) under Hevea brasiliensis (rubber tree). Lineage: Eukaryota; Viridiplantae; Streptophyta; Magnoliopsida; Malpighiales; Euphorbiaceae. The record is from RNAcentral.